Long non-coding RNA from Aethalodelphis obliquidens (Pacific white-sided dolphin), 2213 nucleotides. RefSeq lists it as uncharacterized. Lineage: Eukaryota; Metazoa; Chordata; Mammalia; Artiodactyla; Delphinidae. The transcript is spliced from 4 exons. The record is from RefSeq and is a predicted model, not a curated record.
GCAUCUCAGGCCACUUCUUCCCCCUCCCUAUAACAUUGUUUUAGCUUCAGCACGAUAUUUGUCUUGAGGGCAUCAGGAUUCAUUUCUGUGGGCCUUGCUGAGUCAGGCUGUUUUACAUCAGCUCGUGGAGAAAAACACACGGGAUGCUGCGCCACCAGCCAACCUGGCUGUAAUCAUGCAGAAGAGCGUCCUGACCGACCCCUCUAACGAGGGCCAGCGGUUCCCCAGCAAGAACGUGGAAAGCAGCUGGCUUUUGUACCCACCUAGCACAAGGUGCUUGUCACAGGGCACCCCUGGGGGAGGAGAGAAAGCUUACUCCGGGGUGAGUCUUUUAAACAAAUUGUCUCGUAUCUGGAUGGUAAUCCCUACAGAGAAGGAAUGUCUCAAGGGCACCGUGACUGGGGAGGACUUCGCAUCACUUCUGGCUCAGGUGCACCCCAUCUACCAGUCGGUGUCAACGUGGUCCUUCUUAAAGAGCUCAGGAGUUCUGAUGCUUCAUGUGGAGGUGGGAAAUGAAGCCAUGCCCACAGCGGCUGGUCCUCAUGACUGAGGUUAAACCUGGGCACAGAGACUUGCUGGAAAGGGCUCUUCCUCUGGACCAGUUCAAGUGGCUCCGCUUCACCUGAAGAUAAGCAGGAACGUGCUCUGGGGCAAAAUCCACCAGUGGUCCCUUCUCUCUAACGCCAACGCGCAUGUGCAGAGGGGUUCACGGUGACUGAAGCACUUGACAGUGAAUUACCAUUCAGUCCUCACAAUAGCCUGUGAGGGGAGUGGGAAUGGUCCUGAUCUCUGCCUCGUACACGAGAGAACUGAGACUUAGAGGGAGGACGUGAGUUGUGUAAGGGGCACAGUUGGGCCUGAGGGGUCUCCUGGGCUGGCAGGCAGUAUAACACGACCAGGUCAAAGUGUAAGAGAAGGAGGCUGACUGGGAUGUCUCUUGGGUCCUUCCUGACCUAGUCUCCAGGCUGGACUCCCAGCUCUCACCUCUGUGGCCACCCACAAGCCCAGCAUGGUCAGGGCUGAAAACUCAGUCCUCUCACUUGUCCUGUCCCACCCUCUCGGGUGAGGCCUUUUUCACUCAACAAAAAUUUCCCGAGUGCCUCCUGUGUGCCAGGCACGUCCUAGCACUGAGGAUACAGCCGUGAGUGACACACCGCAGACCUCUGCCCUCCUCAAAGUUCCAUCCCCCCCCCCCACUCUCAUUUCUCCUCCGCCGCUCCGUGUGUGUUGGAGGUGGAGGCAUGGUCAGAAGAGCUGGAGCUGUGAGUCCAUCAUCCAGUGUUGAAGAAGCAGCAGGAACAACCCACUACUGAAUGUGAAAGAAAAGGAGGUAGUUCAGAAAUAAGGAAAAUGGAAAGGAGCUGGAGUAUUGGACGGGAAAAUGACAUGGAAUCCCACCAGACACUCUUAUUUCUGACAUGCAUUGGGCCUUUCUGAAUGUGGACGUUGCUGAGCCAACAGCGGAUCCAUAGUCCUUGUGAUUGGAUUUUGGUUCUCUCUCCCCAAAGGAAGGUGAGGAUUUGCACCACAGAAGCGGGAAUCCCUGUUAACUUCUGCUGCCAGGCAGGUACCGCAAAUGCGUGAUGUGUGUUAAAAAAGAAACUAAAAAAACAAAAAAACCCAAACGGGGGUGGGUGCGAUAGUAGCAGAGACAGCGGCCUGAACCGUAGUCCAGUGAAGGUUGACAUUCAAACACAGAAACCUCAUCCCCACGUGAGGUGUGGCCCACAUGCCACCAGUUUGUAACUCCUGGGGACUCUGGUUUAAAGAUGCUAGAUUCUGUCAGCCUCUUGCUUAUUAUGUGACUUUGGCAAAGUCACUUAGCCUCCUUGAACCGCUGAGUGGAACUAAACCAUGGCCCACAGCUCAGAGAUAGUGCUACGACAGGUCGGCCAAUGUGUGUCAAGUUCUGAGCAAUUCUUGGGUUUUUCUUGCAUGAACAACUCCUACUAGUACAACGAGCGGGUGGCGAGGGCUGCCGCAAGAUGACGACGUAGCAGAUAAUGGGGACCUGGGAGUUCCUGUUGGCACAGAUCCUAAUGUACCUUUGAAGACACUGAUUAAUGAAGCUGCGUGUCCCUCGUGAGGUGAGGUCAGGAUAACACUGCUUGUCUGCAGGUGUGUUGAGAGAUGGGAACCUGGGGAGAGACAGGGUUAGCCUCAUCCCAGCGGGGAAAGCAGAGCGGCUUCAGCUCAGUCUCCUAAAUGCCUCA